GGUCGAGGCCAUCUCCUGGGCCUCCUGGUAGCCAUCGUGGCUAAGCAGGUACUGCUGGGCCGGAAGGUGGUGGUUGUACACUGCGACGGCAUCAACAUUUCUGAGGCCCCCUUACCACUUCCAGGCCCCCAGCAGCAUUUUCUGGCCGACCCUGCGAGGCAUGCUGCCCCACAAGACCAAGCGAGGCCAUGCCACCCUGGACUGCCUCAAGGUGUUUGACAGCAUCACACCACCCUAAGAAAAGAAAAAGUGGAUGGUGGUUCCUGCUGCCCUCAAGGUCGUGUGUCUGAAGCCUACAAAAAAGUUUGCCUAUCUGGGGCACCUGGCUCAUGAGGUUGGCUGGAAGUACCAGGCAGUGACAGCUACCCUGGAGGAGAAGAGGAAGGAGAAAGCCAAGACCCACUACUGGAAGAAGAAACAGCUCACGAGGCUACGGAAACUGGCCGAGAAAAACGUGGAGAAGAAAAUUGACAAAUACACAGAGGUCCUCCAGACCCACGGACUCCUGGUCU
This 512-nucleotide long non-coding RNA is filed under the name Homo sapiens (human). RNAcentral describes it as "non-protein coding lnc-SPON1-4:1". The record is from RNAcentral. Lineage: Eukaryota; Metazoa; Chordata; Mammalia; Primates; Hominidae.